UGAGCAAUCUGCCCUUCUCAUCGGAAUAAGCGUUGGAAACGACGUCUAAUGCCGAAUACGACCUCCUUUCGCAUGAUCGGAGGUGGAAAGCUCCGGCGGAGAAGGAUGAGCUCGCGGCCUAUCAGCUAGUUGGUGUGGGUAACGCCCACCAAGGCGACGACGGGUAGCCGGCCUGAGAGGGUGACCGGCCACACGUGGGACUGAGACACGGCCCAGACUCCGUACGGGAGNAGCG
Molecule: ribosomal RNA, 235 nt
Filed under: uncultured bacterium
Lineage: Bacteria
Description: partial 16S ribosomal RNA
Rfam family: Bacterial small subunit ribosomal RNA
Source: RNAcentral